Molecule: ribosomal RNA, 254 nt
Filed under: uncultured bacterium
Lineage: Bacteria
Description: partial 16S ribosomal RNA
Rfam family: Bacterial small subunit ribosomal RNA
Source: RNAcentral
UACGUAGGGGGCGAGCGUUGUCCGGAUUUAUUGGGCGUAAAGAGCUCGUAGGCGGUUCGAUAAGUCGGACGUGAAAUCUCCACGCUCAACGUGGAGGGGCCGUUCGAUACUGUCGUGACUCGAGUCCGGUAGGGGAGUGUGGAAUUCCCGGUGUAGCGGUGAAAUGCGUAGAUAUGCGGAGGAACACCGAUGGCGAAGGCAAUCCCCUGGGCCUGCACUGACGCUCAUGCACGAAAGCGUGGGGAGCAAACAGG